CAGAGCGUGUCUUCCAGCUUUGGGCAAUGAGCUCUUUACUGAAAGAGCGAGGAGGAGAGAUCCCGCAAGUUGAAUAAAACCGGACUUUUCUCCUGGAGCCCAGAGGUUUAACAUGCACCAUCUCCCCAGCAAACACAAAUGCCUCCUGUGGGGACAGAAACCACAAUCAAAAGCCCUCGAGCAGCCGCCCUGGCCAACGGCACCUGCCCUGGGGGUCCACGCCCCCAGGUCCCUCCCCGCCGGUAGCUCCUGCCUGGCCCUGGGAAACAUCUUCCCACUUCAGCCCCGAGCAUCCACCCGUCUGCCGCGCUGGAUCAGGCCUCAGCGCUGUGUUCCAGCCUCAUUCCUCAUCCUCUCGCUGAAACGCUCCCGGGAUUUCAGCGCAGCCCCUCAAAACACAACCCAGAAUUUCUUGGUUAAUGGAAGGAUCAGGAAAUGGAUGGCCUGGUUAACGGAGCUUAGAAACUCUUCUUGGAAGUUUUCUGCAAACGUAUUAUUAGUCCAGCACCUUCAGUGGUGGCCAACAUGAGACUCUAUUUCAAAUCCUUGAAUACAGUGGAUCCCUGAAGAAAGGGCAGAGGCCCUCACAGCUUUGGGACAAGAUGAUGACCAUGUUUGAUUUGACAGAAACAGCCCUGUACAUUUUGGACUUGCAGGGACUGUGAA
RNAcentral lists this long non-coding RNA (666 nucleotides) under Homo sapiens (human). RNAcentral describes it as "non-protein coding lnc-PQLC1-8:2". The record is from RNAcentral. Lineage: Eukaryota; Metazoa; Chordata; Mammalia; Primates; Hominidae.